This 270-nucleotide ribosomal RNA is filed under the name uncultured archaeon. RNAcentral describes it as "partial 16S ribosomal RNA". It matches the Rfam family "Archaeal small subunit ribosomal RNA", at positions 477 to 747 of the family's 1478-position model. The record is from RNAcentral.
CAGCACCUCAAGUGGUCAGGAUGAUUAUUGGGCCUAAAGCAUCCGUAGCCGGCGCUGUAAGUUUUCGGUUAAAUCUGUACGCUCAACGUACAGGCUGCCGGGAAUGCUGCAGCGCUAGGGAGUGGGAGAGGUAGACGGUACUCGGUAGGAAGGGGUAAAAUCCUUUGAUCUAUUGAUGACCACCUGUGGCGAAGGCGGUCUACCAGAACACGUCCGACGGUGAGGGAUGGAAGCUGGGGGAGCAAACCGGAUUAGAUACCCGAGUAGUCC